GUGCCAGCCGCCGCGGUAAUACGGAGGGCGCGAGCGUUGUUCGGAAUUAUUGGGCGUAAAGCGCACGUAGGCGGCUCGAUAAGUCUCACUGUGAAAGCCCGGGGCUCAACCCCGGGAGGCCAGGGGAUACUGUCGAGCUGGAGACAAGCAGAGGUUGGUAGAAUUCCGGGUGUAGCGGUGGAAUGCGUAGAGAUCCGGAGGAAUACCAGAGGCGAAGGCGGCCAACUGGGCUUGGUCUGACGCUGAGGUGCGAAAGCGUGGGGAGCGAACAGGAUUAGAUACCCUUGUAGUCC
RNAcentral lists this ribosomal RNA (293 nucleotides) under uncultured bacterium. Its description in RNAcentral is "partial 16S ribosomal RNA". It matches the Rfam family "Bacterial small subunit ribosomal RNA", at positions 505 to 796 of the family's 1533-position model. The record is from RNAcentral.